RNAcentral lists this long non-coding RNA (293 nucleotides) under Taeniopygia guttata (zebra finch). RNAcentral describes it as "lncRNA (ENSTGUG00000025936.1)". Lineage: Eukaryota; Metazoa; Chordata; Aves; Passeriformes; Estrildidae. The record is from RNAcentral.
GGGAAAGAGGGCAGAUGCAUGAACAUGAGGAUAUAAAAGGUUGGGCUAAAGAACAAGAAGGGCAGAUGACUGUAGCCUUCUGAAGCGAUGUGAUGUUACUCUGUAUGGGCAGGCAUCUGAAGCCUUCUGAUGUGAUUGCUCAACUGAAUGCCCUUAUAAACAUGCUGUUAGGGGAACUCACCCCUGGUGAUCAUCAGAACAUCAUGACAAUAUGCACAAUUGAUGUACAUGCGAGGGAUGUUGUAGCCACGCUUAUAGCACAGAAGGUAAUUUGUUGCAGAGCAAUUACACUA